AUUAACUCCCUGCAUAGGGCACUUCCCACCCCCAACGGGAGCUGAGCAAGUCUGGAUCGAGGAAUCCGCGUCUGGAGGGAAGCCUCAAGGGCACUUUUGGAUUGACAGGUGGUGUAGGGGCACGGGGACAAACAAACAACAAACAUAGAAAUAACCCCCACUCCCCAAAUCUCUAAGGGAUGCAAGAGAAGAUAUCAAGUGUUUGGAAAACUGAAAUAAGUAAAAAAAAAAAUCACCAGUUCUCUGCACAGCCUUUUUCUGAGGCUUAGGGUGGGUGAUCAGACCUCAAAUCUGGGGCCUUUGUUUGGAGAACAAGCAAAGCAGAGUUCGUGAAAAGAGAAGAUAUUUGGGGGUCACGGGUGAUCUGCCCUCCAAGGAUGUCGGCUCAUAAGGUGUGGGGAGGAAGCACCACCCACACCCCUCAAAGAAGGGGCUGGUUGCCUUGGAAACUCCCUUUCUCCAGCUUUAUCACGUUUCAGGAUCCACAACCAGAAUUAUCUCCACGCUUGGCCCCAGACAGAACGGCUACAUCUGCUUUUUCGGGAAUAUUCUCUUUCUACUUCCUAUCUUCCCCAUAUUUAGGGGUGUUCCCAGGGACAAGAGGGGUCCUAACUGCUGUAGUUGUGCUGUAAUUUUUACAACCACCAUUAUCAUUAGGAAGAGGAGGAGGAGGAGGACUUCCAGGCUGCACGUUCUUGCUGGAGCCAGGGCUAGUCACAGAUGAGCAUCCUCACCAAUAAAACUGGGUUUGUUGUUCUGAUGACGCUAGUAUUUACCAGAACGCUCUGACACAUCCCCACCGAACUUGCGAAUCGCCGCGUUUAACAGCCUGAAAAUCUGGCCUGCUUUUUCCCGGGAACUGCGGAGGUUGUCUCUGUGACUUUGAUUAUUUGCAUUGAUGACCCUGGGGCAAGAUUCUUGGACCAACCCUGGAGUCCGGCCCCGAUCGAGUGGAGGCAUCCGCCCUAGAGAGACCCCAAAGGCACUCCAGAGGAGCAGAGAAAAAGCUAGGAGCUGAAAUGAGCCUGGGGAACCGUCCCACUUCCCAGCGUCAAGGACCACGCAGGACCCCACCCAAGGGUCCCAUCCUCCAGAAGGAGCCAGCCCAGAGAUGCAUGUGGAACCUUUAGAAAUGGCUCCGGUUUUCCCUGGUGCUGGUAAGGCAUCUGCUGGGGACUGGCAGAUACACAGCCAGGGCGGGUCAGCCAAUGCCUACACAAGCUGAAUUUACAGAGCACCUCCUGGGAAGCCCAGCAAGAAGGACUCGUGGGCAAAACACCCGGGUUUAACAGAGUGGCUCUGCAUUUGCCUGGGAAUGCCUUCCGAGCGCUCCAAGCAGGCUGCACAGAGAGUGAAUGAUUCUUUUUCCUCUCCACCCACGUGCUGAGAGCUGCAUUUACCCAUCAGUGUGGACCCCUGAGAUCCUCUUCCCAUCCCAGAUCCUGGGGACUUCAGUGCUUCAGCCCCAAGGCCUCAAAGGAGCAGAUUUCUCGUUUGGACCUUCAUAAACCAUCCUCCCCCGCCCCCUUGACCAAAUUCAUUCCCUCCCAGUCCCCUCCUUUCCCUGAAAUCGGCGACCAUGCGCCUAUCUGUUGCUCCUCUUUGAAGCUACAACCUUCCAGGACAGGGAACUCCUUUUGUAAUUAGAGAGACCUAGCCGCAAAUCUCUGCUCCCAAAUACAAGCUGUAGGACCUUGACAAGUCACCCCCGUCCCCUGGACUCUCCUGUGCAAAAGCUAUGCCUCCCGUCCGCCCCCUAGGCUGCCGUGAGAAUCAAAUGCCCAAGACGAAUGUACCCACUUGUAUGGCAGAAUCAUCCAGCUAAAAGUUCUAAACGUGAAUACAGAAUCCGUGUUCUGUUCUAGUAAUUAAUUAUCUUCUACGAUGAGAUUUGGGGACAUUUUUUCAAAAAUCAGUGUUUUGUGUUUUGUUUUUCUUUGGGGAAGAGGGGUG
This 1953-nucleotide long non-coding RNA is filed under the name Homo sapiens (human). RNAcentral's name for it is "HSALNT0370610". The record is from RNAcentral. Lineage: Eukaryota; Metazoa; Chordata; Mammalia; Primates; Hominidae.